CCGGGUCCGCCUACUUUUCUUGGGCGAGUACGGGUCGACUUCCAGCUCGCUGUUUGUUUAAAGGCGUAUCCGGAAAGGGUCCUGUGUGUAGAGGGCUGUACCGUGAGGCUGAGACAGAGAGUGAGACAGAGACAGAGAGUGAGAGUGAGAGUGAGAGCGCGGUGCCCGGGCGGAGAUGCUGCUGCUGAUGUUCGCCAACGCCAGUAGUUUGCUGGUCUGCUCGGUCCUCAAACUGCCCCAAAUCAUCACCGUCAUCUCCGCCAAAACUGCCCGAGGACUCAGUGUCCGCAGCCUGCUCCUGGAACUCAUCGGGUUUUUGAUUUUCCUGACGUACCAGACUUACUAUGAGUACCCAUUGACAACAUACUUGGAGUAUCCAGUCUUAAUUGUACAAGAUGUUAUUCUCUUAAUGUGUAUUCUGUUUUAUAAUGGAAACAUUGGAACAGCUUUACCGUACACAAUCUUAUUUAUCAUUGGUUGGCGUCUGUUAACAAUCCAUAAGUUAAUCAUAGACUUAGCUAUGAGUUUGUCUACAUGUAUCAGUGCAUUAAGUAAAUACGCUCAGCUCCAGUCCUUGUGGAAGACUCAUGAUUCUGACCAGGUCAGUGCCCUGACAUGGAGCCUUGCCAUCUAUACUGUAUGCACCAGAAUCUUCACCACCCUGGUGACAACGGCAGACACUGCAGUUCUUAUACGUUAUGCCGUUAUUGGUGUGUUGAAUGUGUGGGUUUUGAUCACGGUAAUGUACUACAGGAAGACCGGAAAGCAAAAGUAGUAAACAGGGUGAGGAGCAGCACUCUACCAAACCGGUUUUCUGGAUUAAAUCAAAUAUGUCGCCUUGGUGAAAAUUGACAAACAACAUUUUGCAUCGUGUCACAAUAAUGAGUAAAAACAACCAAUCCAAAUAUGCUGAGUGAAUUUUGGAUCUAUCCAGGGAAUGCGAGAAGUCUAGCCAUCAAUCUGAACCCCUGGCAUAGUGUAGGAGUGAGUAAAUUAUACUGUCAAAUAAACCAAGGUGAAACCAUCACCAGUCGUCCCUCUGUAAUGAGAGAGCAACUGUGUAGUCCAAGAGGAUUAUGGUGACUUUGCCUUUACAUUGAUAUAUCCUACAGUUUUCUUCUUCACUACCAACCACAUAGCCAACUUUCAUAAUGUAUCUAAACUUCACAAUUGUGCUCUUUAUUAAAACAAAAUCUGAUUUCUAUCAUAUUUUCCAGGGGGCUUUUUUUGGUUGCAAAUUAACAUAAAUGGGCCUGUCAUUGCUGGAAGGCAUGAACUAUUUUGAAACCUGAUUCUUUUUCAAAAAUUGGACAACCUUUUUGGACUCAAAAUGGCCUGGGCUGAUCACAUGGUCAUAUUCCUAGAAACUUCUGAAUCCCACCUGCAUAGUAUAAAAUAAAGGACUUCCAGCCAGCACGAGGCAAGAAACCAUGAAGGCCUACUAUGCUAAAAUGAAUGCCUACGCUUUUAAUUCCCUUUUGAACUUGCAAUGGAAACUCUCAUGGUGGUUGGGGGGGCUACUGUUAAAGUUGCACUGCUAGGCUAAUUGGUAGGUUCUUAAGCUAUCAAAAUUGGCAUUCAGCAUCUGAAAUGCCCAACUCUGUCACAUGCCUAAAAGCAGAGUUUGUUCGACGACUCAGAAUUCCAAAAUUCAGACAGUUGGGCUCUUAACAUCGCAAGAAUAGCAUCGAGAAGACUUGCUUUACAUCGCUCUCUCUCAAAAGUCUCACCUCAAGAAAGAAGCUUGGACAUCAGCUGCCAAACUGCACUAAUUGUCUGCAUACAAGAAUAAUUGUCACAUCUUUGCCAUCAUCUGCUUCCCAGGAAAAGAAUUGCUACAAAUUAAGACAACAUACUUUCAACUGGCCACUAACUCAAUGGACUCAAAGUCAUGUGUAUUAGCAAUAUUGUUGGAUUUUGAGAAAUUCAUAAAUUGUAACUGUUUCUUUCACAUUGUAUGCUUGUGUGUUUGAAUGAAGUAGCAGAACAAUUUCCCACAGGUUGCGUGUUUUGUUAAUAAAUUCUACCUUUAAUUUCACCUUAA
Molecule: RNA transcript, 2044 nt
Organism: Chiloscyllium plagiosum (whitespotted bambooshark)
Lineage: Eukaryota; Metazoa; Chordata; Chondrichthyes; Orectolobiformes; Hemiscylliidae
Gene: slc66a3
Gene name: solute carrier family 66 member 3
Source: RefSeq, a predicted model, not a curated record